Erinaceus europaeus (western European hedgehog) is the source of this 990-nucleotide long non-coding RNA. RefSeq lists it as uncharacterized. The record is from RefSeq and is a predicted model, not a curated record. The transcript has 2 exons. Lineage: Eukaryota; Metazoa; Chordata; Mammalia; Eulipotyphla; Erinaceidae.
UGUGCCAAUUCAGUCACAUCUGCCAUGUUGUCCCCUCAGGCUACUGCUAGUUCCCUGGAGAGUUGGGACAUUCUCAGAGUGCCUGUUCAGCCAUGUUGUGCCCUCAGGACAUUGUCUAUAUCCCCAUGAUAUCUGGAGUGCUCUGGUUACUCCUCCCCCCUCCCAUUCUCACGAGAGUUAUCAUCCUAUCCUGGAGUGCUAUGGUUACUUCUCCCCCUUCCCAUUCUCGCGAAAGCUACUCCUAUAAAAACCCUUCGUUUUCCACACCUCUCUCUCUUGCCGGCGCUCCACUCUGGUGUUCAGAUGCAGGAAAGGUUACUGCGUGAGAGGCUGACCUUCCUCAUGCAGCAUUUCAUCCCCUGCCAUUUCUCCCCCUAGUCACCUACUUUGGACUGAGACUUCUAUCGGACUUACUGGUAUACCCUUUGGACACUUUAGACAAUUUUACAGCAGCUUCCUUCCCUUCACGUUGCUGGUUUUUCAUAGACUGACCCUGAGUAGUUCAUAGACUUUACACACUGUUGUCCUGGGCAUUAGAUAAAAGGAAAGGGGGAGAUGCUGGGAAAUUGUGCCAAUGCAGUCACAUCUGCCAUGUUGUCCCCUCAGGCUACUGCUAGUUCCCUGGAGAGUUGGGACAUUCUCAGAGUGCCUGUUCAGCCAUGUUGUGCCCUCAGGACAUUGCCUAUAUCCCCGCUAUAUCUGGAGUGCUCUGGUUACUCCUCCCCCCUCCCAUUCUCACGAGAGUUAUCAUCCUAUCCUGGAGUGCUAUGGUUACUUCUCCCCCUUCCCAUUCUCGCGAAAGCUACUCCUAUAAAAACCCUUCGUUUUCCGCACCUCUCUCUCUUGCCGGCGCUCCACUCUGGUGUUCAGACGCAGGAAAGGUUACUGCGUGAGGCGGCCAUUUUCUCUACCUCCACGUGGCCCAACCUGCUUCUCUAACACCCAACUCUGAGGUGCCAGCGCAAAUAAAGAUUUGUGUUUCCUCUUCGC